GUACUGAGUUAUCUCAAUUGAUUGUUCACUUCACUUACA
RNAcentral lists this non-coding RNA (39 nucleotides) under Cervus elaphus hippelaphus. The record is from RNAcentral. Lineage: Eukaryota; Metazoa; Chordata; Mammalia; Artiodactyla; Cervidae.